GCACAAGCAGCGGAGCGUGUGGUUUAAUUCGAUGUUACACGAAGAACCUUUACCAGGGUUUUGACAUGCAAGUGGUAGGAAGCCGAAAGGUGAUCGACCCUUCGGGGAGCUUGCACAGGUGCUGCAUGGCUGUCGUCAGCUCGUGUCGUGAGAUGUUCGGUUAAGUCCGCUAACGAGCGCAACCCUCGCUGUGUGUUAUAUGUGUCACACGGGACUGCCGGUCUUAAGCCGGAGGAAGGUGGGGAUGAUGUCAAGUCAGCAUGGCCUUUAUAUCCUGGGCUACACACACGCUACAAUGGCCAACACAAUAGGUUGCUAAGCCGCGAGGUGGCGCCAAUCCAUAAAGUUGGUCUCAGUUCAGAUUGUAGGCUGCAACCCGCCUGCAUGAAGAUGGAGUUGCUAGUAACCGCAGGUCAGCUAUACUGCGGUGAAUACGUUCCCGGGGCUU
Molecule: ribosomal RNA, 448 nt
Filed under: uncultured Leptolinea sp.
Lineage: Bacteria; Bacillati; Chloroflexota; Anaerolineae; Anaerolineales; Anaerolineaceae
Description: bacterial SSU rRNA
Rfam family: Bacterial small subunit ribosomal RNA
Source: RNAcentral